Long non-coding RNA from Acipenser ruthenus (sterlet), 1887 nucleotides. RefSeq lists it as uncharacterized. The record is from RefSeq and is a predicted model, not a curated record. The transcript has 2 exons. NCBI's taxonomy places the organism in Eukaryota, Metazoa, Chordata, Actinopteri, Acipenseriformes, Acipenseridae.
AUUCAUUUUACAAAUUUAUAGUGUUAGAUAUUUUGAAAGUCGCCACUUCCAAAUAAUUUAAUAAAACGAGUUCAGUGUAUAAAAAACUGCUUCUGAUAGUACUAAAAACGCUGCUAACAUUCGCAAUUCAAAAGUGAAAAAUGAAACAUGAUAUUUAAUGCUACAUUUCUAAAACAAACGCUCUACUAAUGUAGAGGCCUUCCUCUUACGUGCUAUUAGAACAGAAUUCUGUUAAGCUUAUUCGAGCCAAAUGUCUGUCAAAGCAACGUCCCAGUGCACCUUAAAUAAGAACAUAAGACAUUUUACUAGCGAGAGGAGGAUUCAGCCCAUCUUGCUCGUUUUGUUGUUAAAAAUAUUGUAAAGAAAGUAAUAUACAAAAGACAACCAUUCUGGCUACUAUAAUAAACUGUUAGCACUUUUUAUUGCUUUCAUGCUGAACCUGCAGCCAUCUGCAUUGGUGUGUUUUUGCAGUGUGACUCAGAUGCUUCUAAAGGUCCUGUGCUUUCCUCUGCAGGUGAAACGUCACAUUGAUCCUAUUAUCUGCAGGGAAACUGAUAUGCUGGCAAUGCAGUCUGUUCAUCCUGGUCUUUCUACUGCUCAUGCAUGCAAUUCAGAAUACAGGAUUUUCACAGCUAUCACAUUACAUGCACAUAAAAUACGGAUUACAACAAAAUCCAAAAUCGCUAACAUUUUUGACAUGCUGUAGAGUUUUAAUGACACAUGUCUGCAGUGUAUUUUUGCAGCUUCUAGCAAAUGCACUGUAAUGAUGAAAUAAACAAGCAUCAAUGAACUCCCUUUUGAUCAGCUUCUAGCGCAUUCCUGUUUUAUUUGUUAUUUUUGCUAUGCCUUUUUUUAUAAGUAAUACGCACUGGGGAUUCACUUACUUAAAAUUAAACUAAAAGACCUGAAGAAACUACAGUUAAAGAAAAAAGUAAACUUUGGCAGAGAUUGGAGUGGCAAUCUGUUUCAAUAAGUUGCUGGCAUUUCCUCCCUUGUUUUUCACUUCUUUAAAACUCUUUUGACAUUUUGGAUGUCUGCCUUCAACCAGAUUGCUGUUGUCAUCUGGCUGAAAUCCAAAAUAGUUCCACACCAAGCUUCUUUCUCCUGCAUUCGCCCAUUACUGCUGCAGUAAUGACGUUUUCUCAGAACGCGCAGGGUAGUUGGCCACAUCCAAUAAGCGGAAAUUAAUAAGCUUAGUUCAUAUUGUUUUUAAAGAAAAGGUAAGUACGGUUCUGAGUUUGUCACAAUGGAGCCAGGAGGACAGAGUGAGGAAUCUAAAGUUUACAGACCAGGAGCUAAAUGUAUUAGCAGAAGAAGUGGUGGGGAAUUCUGAAAGGCUUUUUGGUGCUGAACCAGCAGGAACAUUAACUUCAAUGAAGAGGGCCAUCUGACAAAACAUUAAGGACAAAAUAAAUGCGCUUGGGGUCUGUGAGCACAGCCUGGAACAAAGCGCUGGACAGAUGCCAAGAGAAAAACUAAAGAGAAAUGCCCUCACAAUCGUGCCGCAGCAUCUGCCACUGGAGGUGGACCCUCACAACAACUGGAACUCACCUCGUAUGAGACCGUCAUUGUGGCCAUUCUGCAGCAACAGCUUGUCGGGGGUGUCCACGGGGGCAUUGACACCAGCAGGACCCCCGCGGAGCCAGCAAACCAGGGUGCCAACACUGUCUCCACUUCUAAGAAGACACACACUGUCGCAAUGAAUCGCAGUCCAGACACCUGCACACCAUCUCCACCAGUUAAGUCUUCAAUGGGACUCCGUAUGAGGAGGGGGGGUGUCUUGCCCCAAAGACUCACAACGUCCUGCGAGACAGUCAAGGUGGAGAAAGUAAUUGUUAAUGGAACAUUGAUGUUUAACUCUGCAAAUCAAAUAAAUGUUUGUUUGUU